Molecule: ribosomal RNA, 459 nt
Filed under: uncultured bacterium
Lineage: Bacteria
Description: partial 16S ribosomal RNA
Rfam family: Bacterial small subunit ribosomal RNA
Source: RNAcentral
CCUACGGGGGGCAGCAGUGAGGAAUAUUGGUCAAUGGGCGCGAGCCUGAACCAGCCAAGUCGCGUGAGGGAAGACGGUCCUAUGGAUUGUAAACCUCUUUUGUCGGGGAGCAAAAGACGCCACGCGUGGCGUUCCGCGAGUACCCGAAGAAAAAGCAUCGGCUAACUCCGUGCCAGCAGCCGCGGUAAUACGGAGGAUGUGAGCGUUAUCCGGAUUUAUUGGGUUUAAAGGGUGCGCAGGCGGAAGAUCAAGUCAGUGGUAAAAUUGAGAGGCUCAACCUCUUCGAGCCGUUGAAACGGGUUUUCUUGAGUGAGUGAGAAGUGUGCGGAAUGCGUGGUGUAGCGGUGAAAUGCAUAGAUAUCACGCAGAACUCCGAUUGCGAAGGCAGCAUACCGGCGCUCAACUGACGCUCAUGCACGAAAGUGUGGGUAUCGAACAGGAUUAGAUACCCCAGUAGUC